RNAcentral lists this ribosomal RNA (615 nucleotides) under Coris aygula (clown coris). Its description in RNAcentral is "partial small subunit ribosomal RNA". It matches the Rfam family "Bacterial small subunit ribosomal RNA", at positions 612 to 1442 of the family's 1533-position model. Lineage: Eukaryota; Metazoa; Chordata; Actinopteri; Labriformes; Labridae. The record is from RNAcentral.
AGUUGACGACCUCCGGCGUAAAGAGUGGUUAAGAGAGCCCCAUACUAAAGCCAAAUGACUUCAAAGCUGUCAUACGCACACGAAAGUACGAAGCCCGAUUACGAAAGUGGCUUUAAACCCCUGACUCCACGAAAGCUAUGAUACAAACUGGGAUUAGAUACCCCACUAUGCCUAGCCUUAAACAUUGAUAAUACUCUACUCAUUUUAUCCGCCCGGGUACUACGAGCAUCAGCUUGAAACCCAAAGGACUUGGCGGUGCUUUAGAUCCACCUAGAGGAGCCUGUUCUAGAACCGAUAAUCCCCGUUAAACCUCACCUUUCCUUGCCUAAUCCGCCUAUAUACCGCCGUCGUCAGCUUACUCUGUGAAGAAUAAAUAGUAAGCACAACUGGUAAAACCUAAAACGCCAGGUCGAGGUGUAGCGUAUGGAAAGGGAAGAAAUGGGCUACAUUCAGUAAUUGUAAUGAAUAACGAAUGACAUCCUGAAAAAAUGUCUGAAGGAGGAUUUAGUAGUAAGCAGAAAAUAGAGUGCUCUGCUGAAAUUGGCCCUGAAGCGCGUACACACCGCCCGUCACUCUCCCCGAGCUAAAUUUCCUUCAUUUCUAAUUAGCCAAAAC